AUGGCCUAUGCUAGCUUGAGUUCCUUCCCCUGUCCCAGUCUGCUGGAAGUGUCUCUGCUGCCUCCCCAAGACGCUGGAAGGUCACCCACAUCGAUGCUCUUUCCGCCACUUCCACAAGCCACCAGAUUGAAAAAGAAUGGAAAAGGAAGAGAAGAAGACAAUGCUGAAGCACAAGAGCAAGAGAGGCUAGCUAUACUUAAAGCAAGGAACAGCGAGGAUUCUGAACGAUUUGGGUCCUUUAAAUUUUCAAAUCUAAAUGAAGAUUUUGGAGGCCGAGCCAGUCAGGGACAAAAUAAAAGGAAGAAGGGACCCUGA
RNAcentral lists this ribosomal RNA (315 nucleotides) under Triticum aestivum (bread wheat). Its description in RNAcentral is "partial small subunit ribosomal RNA". The record is from RNAcentral. Lineage: Eukaryota; Viridiplantae; Streptophyta; Magnoliopsida; Poales; Poaceae.